This 73-nucleotide transfer RNA is filed under the name Globisporangium ultimum DAOM BR144. RNAcentral's name for it is "tRNA EPrPULG00000000072". The stretch from base 6 to 67 matches the Rfam family "tRNA", at positions 6 to 65 of the family's 71-position model. Rfam says of the family: Transfer RNA (tRNA) molecules are approximately 80 nucleotides in length. Their secondary structure includes four short double-helical elements and three loops (D, anti-codon, and T loops). Further hydrogen bonds mediate the characteristic L-shaped molecular structure. tRNAs have two regions of fundamental functional importance: the anti-codon, which is responsible for specific mRNA codon recognition, and the 3' end, to which the tRNAs corresponding amino acid is attached (by aminoacyl-tRNA synthetases). tRNAs cope with the degeneracy of the genetic code in two manners: having more than one tRNA (with a specific anti-codon) for a particular amino acid; and 'wobble' base-pairing, i.e. permitting non-standard base-pairing at the 3rd anti-codon position. Lineage: Eukaryota; Oomycota; Peronosporomycetes; Pythiales; Pythiaceae. The record is from RNAcentral.
AUCUCCAUGGCUCAGGCGGUAGAGCACCCGGUUUUCGUGCCGGAGGUCGCUGGUUCGAGUCCCGCUGUUGUCU